CAAGGAGUGAGAUUUGAUUUAGAACCAAUCCCAACAUGAAGAUCCUUUAUCUGCUGUUCGCAUUCCUUUUCCUUGCAUUCCUGUCUGAACCAGGUAAUGCCCGGAACCGGUGUCUUGGACUAGGAGGAUUCUGCCAUUUGAGUCGCUGUCCACGAAAGACUGAGAAUAUUGGGAGACAGGGUUGUAGACGGAGAUUAAUAUGCUGUAGACACUAAGUAAACACUCCUCUAAUAAAGAUGUCACAGAUGUAGAUCGGGAUACUCUUAUUUUUACUCCAAAGCAUUUCAAGGCAUUCACCUGAAGAGGAACAGGUGUUUCAAAGGCAGAAAGAAGAGCAGGAGAGAUUUUCAGGUUCAGAUAACAGACUUUACCUUAAACUUAUUAUGAUCAAACUAUUAUUUUAUCUCAUUUGUAUAGCCACAUUGAAAAAUGAUGUCAUCUCCAUCUAAAACCCUGGAUGUCUUCAAGAUAUGUCCAAUGACCUGAGAUUACUACCUGCUAUCGCUUUUUCUUUCUUUACAUUAAUCAAACUGCUAUCUAUCAAACUUGAAAACAUUUAUGCAUUGAAGUAAAAUUUGGCAAAGUCCUUGAAAUAAAGCUAAACGAGCAUUGCAAA
Long non-coding RNA from Ahaetulla prasina, 616 nucleotides. RefSeq lists it as uncharacterized. Lineage: Eukaryota; Metazoa; Chordata; Lepidosauria; Squamata; Colubridae. The transcript has 2 exons. The record is from RefSeq and is a predicted model, not a curated record.